UUCAUCCUCAAACUAUGAGGCAUGUGACGGUCGUUAAUUUUUAUUUUAUUAUUAUUUCUAAUUCAAACUUUAUAAAUUAUUAUAACUAAUUAAACUCCACAACUCAGUAUAGUUCGCUAAUGCUUCGUUUGGGAUUGCGGAGAGAUUGCGUAACGUGCGGUGAGAAAGUAUGUUGGAAAAAUAUUCUGUUUGUUUCUGUACGUAAUAUUGCGUUCCGCAUAGCACAAUGAGUCGAUUACGAUAUAUUUUCUACGGUCUCAUCGGAGAACACAGAAGCAUAUCCCUACAUGCUUUUUCCUCAACUACAUUCUAUCUAAUAGCGUUAGAUAGGCCUCAAUACCAAACUAAGCCUAAAUAUUGAUGAGUCGCCAAUAGGAAAUUAAUGUAGCAUCUUAAUUGGUAUUGCAACGCUAUUAAUAUUAUAUUUCUAUAGUAGCAAUAUGAGUCUAGCUAUUAUACUCUUAUAAGUACAAUCCCCUUCGUAUUUAUAAGUCGUUUUCAAUGAUAAAGCUUUUAAUUAAAAUCGACAAUCCAUACGGUUAGACAUUAUCUAGAGUAUUUAAAACUUUUAAAAAUCAAAUAUUAUAAUUUUGCGCCAUUAUUUUCUUUACGAUCAAAAGAUAUCAAAAUUAAUAAUUUUUAAUAGCCGGUGUGAAACACUUGUUAUUUUAAUGAUGUAAAAAAAUCGAAAUCUGCUGAAAUUUUGGUAAAAUUUUUUUUUUUCACUGUCUAGAUAAAGAUCAAUAAUUCUACUCUUAAAUUGACAUAUUCGAUCAUCCAUUCUUAGAAAGUCAUUCGAUUUUN
RNAcentral lists this long non-coding RNA (804 nucleotides) under Ananas comosus (pineapple). Its description in RNAcentral is "long non-coding RNA (ACOM_LNC028736)". Lineage: Eukaryota; Viridiplantae; Streptophyta; Magnoliopsida; Poales; Bromeliaceae. The record is from RNAcentral.